UUGGUGCCUACAUUUAAUUGCAAAUAGAAGCAAUAAGAUACAAUAGCGAAAUAAGAACAAGAACUUUCUCAUCAAUUGGGGAUUUCAUUCAGAACAUAAAGAUAUAAAAUGCAGUUACUAGAUUAGAUACUUGCACAAAUUUGAUUUCAUAUAUUUUCUAAAAGAAACUGCAAACAACAAGCUUUGAAAUCUAAAAUUAUCUAAAACUUCCUUGUCAGAUCUACCCUGAACAGGAGAAAAAGAAGAAGAAACAAUGAUAACUGAUUAGUGGCUAUGUGUUCUUAUGAUCCAUAGGCUGCUUGGUAGAAACUGAAAUGCAUUUCACAAGACAGCCAAUUGGCCAAGACAGAACUGCAAUGGCAAUGCAAGCACCCCACUGCAGUAAUUAGAUUCACUUAAUUCCAUAUAUACUCCAAAAGAAACAGCUAACAAUUGAAAGCUCUCAAAAUUAUAAUUAUCUAAACAUUCCUUGUUAGAUCUACCAUAUGCAGGAAAAGCAAAAUGAAUAAGUAGAAGGAUAACUGAUUAGUGGCUUUGUGUCCGCUUGCAAGAAACUGGAAUGCACUUCACUAGACAACCAAUUGGCCAAGAAAGAACUGCAAUGGCAAUGCAGGCACCCCACUGCUGCCAAUUCAACCUCUCAGUGCUGGCAAACUUCUUCAGAAGCUCCACCAUCAGCACUUGAAGAGUUAUGAGGACAAAGGUGUUGAAGAUGAGGGUAUUCUUAACUUCCUCAUCCACACCAAAUAUCGCUUUUCCCUUGAACUGUAGAGUCAGUAAGAUGGUGACCUGAUACAGGGCCUGAGCAAGGAGGUUCCUCCACAUGAUUUUGGUGAUAAGUGGAUCUGAUCGACCCACAGGUGGCCUUGUCAUGAGAUCAUUCGUGGGUUGUUCAGUGGCCAAGGCUAGUGCUCCCAAGGUGUCCAUUAUGAGAUUAACCCACAGCAGCUGGACUGCAGUCAGAGGGAUUUUUCCAGAAGAAACAGCUGCAACGAAGUUGAUGACAAGGGCAGCAACAUUGACAGUGAGCUGAAAUUGAAUGAACUUCUGAAUAUUGUUGUAGACACACCUUCCCCACCUCAACACAGUCACCACAGAAGUGAAGUUAUCAUCCAAUAUGACAAUGUCUGAGCUUUCCUUUGCCACCUCAGUCCCUUGAAUUCCCAUGGAGAGCCCAAUAUCUGCUUCCUUUAGAGCGGGGGCAUCAUUUGUGCCAUCACCAGUGACUGCUACCACGUGACCUUUCUUCUUUAAACACUGUACCAUGAGAAGCUUGUCGAAUGGGGAUGAUCUUGCCAUAACCUGGAUAUUAUCAAUCUUGUCCAUCCUCUCUUCAGAUUAUUGUGGCUGAACCCAUUGUUUCACAAGCAGAGAGCUUACGGACCAUGGCGUUAUCUUUCAUCAUUUUUUUCAUAGAGUAAGCCAGAGUUAGGGUUACAGCUAGAGGGAGACCUUCUGGAAUUGCCACCACGACAAUGGUCACUGCUGCAGCAAUAAUGCUCACAACUGAAUCCAGUACAUCACUGACCUUUGUCUUGCUCCCAUAGUAUUCUUUCCGACCAUUAUCAUCUCUAGUAUUUCCUGUGAAGUACCUUAUCAUCAUAACGGCAAGCACAAGAAUGGCGACUGUCAAUCCAACCUUCCCAAUAUAAGAAGUGAGCUUGUUGAGGCGAGCUUGCAAUGGAGUUUGCUCAUCCAAAUCACGACUUAUCGAACUCAUCAUCUCUCCCCAUGCUGUAUUCAUGCCAACAGAUGUGACAAGCAUGAAGCCAAAGCCAUCAGUCACCUUUGUACCAGAGAGCAAGAAAGGGUUUUCGCUUCCAUUCACCUCAACGUGGUCGCUUUCUCCGGUCAUGCUAGAUUCGUCCACCUUCAAAGAAUACCCAUGCAAGAAUAACCCAUCAGCAGGUAUUUGGUCUCCAAUCUUCAAAGACACCACAUCACCCGCCACCACAUCAAAAAUAGAUAUAUGAUUGUGCCUCCCAUCUCUCACUACUUGCACAGUUAUGUCGCGGCUCACAUCAGAUAACUUCUCAAAUUGUUUGGAUUGCUUGAAGUUGCUGAUAGCAGAGACCGCAAUAACUAGAACAACUGCGACAAUAAUGCUUCCUCCAUCAUACCACCCAUUUUUCAGGCCAUCCUGUUUGAUACCGAAUACCAAGGACAUAAUAGCGCAGACCAAAAGAAUGAUAAUGGUCGGGUCCUUGCAUGCUUCGAGAACAAAGCUUAGAAAGCUUUUUGAAGGAGGCUUAUUAAACCUGUUUGCACCAAAAACAUCCCUUCUAAACGCAGCAUCAGCCUCCCUUGUACCAUCCUUCACAUCAGUUUCUAGAAUUGUGGCAACUUGUAUAACUCCUCCCUGUUGGUUCAAAGAUUCAAGGUUCUUUUCUUUUAUAA
Molecule: long non-coding RNA, 2397 nt
Organism: Populus nigra (black poplar)
Lineage: Eukaryota; Viridiplantae; Streptophyta; Magnoliopsida; Malpighiales; Salicaceae
Exons: 3
Source: RefSeq, a predicted model, not a curated record